AUAAAUCGCUAGGGGCGCUAUUGCUGAGAUGACAUUUGUCAAUCCCUUUGAACCUGACUUGGUUAACACCAACGUAGGAAAGUGAGCUUAUAAAAAC
RNAcentral lists this non-coding RNA (97 nucleotides) under Loigolactobacillus bifermentans. RNAcentral's name for it is "Lactobacillus bifermentans TPP sequence". It matches the Rfam family "TPP riboswitch aptamer (THI element)". From Rfam's summary of the family: Vitamin B(1) in its active form thiamin pyrophosphate (TPP) is an essential coenzyme that is synthesised by coupling of pyrimidine and thiazole moieties in bacteria. The previously detected thiamin-regulatory element, thi box was extended, resulting in a new, highly conserved RNA secondary structure, the THI element, which is widely distributed in eubacteria and also occurs in some archaea. Analysis of operon structures identified a large number of new candidate thiamin-regulated genes, mostly transporters, in various prokaryotic organisms. The record is from RNAcentral. Lineage: Bacteria; Bacillati; Bacillota; Bacilli; Lactobacillales; Lactobacillaceae. RNAcentral also lists the same sequence under 1 other name.